Armigeres subalbatus is the source of this 834-nucleotide long non-coding RNA. RefSeq lists it as uncharacterized. Lineage: Eukaryota; Metazoa; Arthropoda; Insecta; Diptera; Culicidae. The transcript is spliced from 2 exons. The record is from RefSeq and is a predicted model, not a curated record.
UCCAAAUCCAUUAAAAAUCCAAUACAAAUUCGAACCAAAUCCAAUCAAAAUUCGAUCCAAAUCCAAUCCAAAUUCUAUCCAAUUCCAAUCCAAAUCCAAUUCAAGUAAAAAAAAAACCAAUCCAAAUCCAAUUCACAUCAAAUCCAAUUCCAAUCCCAAUCCAAAUCCAAUUUAUUACACACAUACAUACAUACACACAGAGACCUCAGUUUUUUUUCGAGCCUUAUUGAUUUGUAUAAAAUAUUGUGUUUUCGGUCGUUUGUUUUUGGAGUGAUCUUAUUUAUAUCCUUUACUUACAUUAAGUGAAGUGAAGUGUUCAAAAUACAUCUUGAGAAAUAUUUAAUUUUCAAGUCUUACUUUCCAGUUUAAGGAGAGAAAACACAUAAAUAUGAGGAGGUUGUGGUAAUUGAUCAACAAAUUAGUUGCAUUUGAACUCUCAACACAACCAUAAAUCAUGAGGUUGGCGUGUUUCGGCUUAAUUCUCUAAUAUCCAGUCCAAAUUUCAACGAAAGCCAAAUUGCUCAGCACAGGUUUUUGAAGUCAACGCAACGGUUGAAAGGAGUUAGAUGUCAAGCGUAAAUACCAGAAGCGGUUACAAAUGUGUGAAGGAAUGAGAUUUUCUUGACUGUUGCUGUUCUUUGUUUCGCCGCGUCGUCGCCUGGAAUACCGUGCCGAAGUCAUGUUGUUGGUCAAAUCAGCUUAACAAACGGUGCGCGCCAUCACAGCCAUUAUUAUCAUAAAAUUGUAGUUAUGAUUCCGAAAACAUCAUAAGAAUAAAUAAGCAGAUUCAUUACCGAUUUAUAAGGAAAAAUAUAAACAUGAUUUACAACUGAA